This 497-nucleotide ribosomal RNA is filed under the name uncultured bacterium. RNAcentral describes it as "partial 16S ribosomal RNA". It matches the Rfam family "Bacterial small subunit ribosomal RNA", at positions 28 to 507 of the family's 1533-position model. The record is from RNAcentral.
GAUGAACGCUGGCGGCGUGCCUAAUACAUGCAAGUCGAGCGAACGGACGAGAAGCUUGCUUCUCUGAUGUUAGCGGCGGACGGGUGAGUAACACGUGGAUAACCUACCUAUAAUACUGGGAUAACUUCGUGAAACCGGAGCUAAUACCGGAUAAUAUUUUGAACCUCAUGUUUCAAAAGUGAAAGACGGUCUUUCUGUCACUUAUAGAUUGAUCCGCUCUGCAUUAGCUAGUUGGUAAGGUAACGGCUUACCAAGGCAACGAUGCAUAGCCGACCUGAGAGGGUGAUAGGCCAAACUGGAACUGAGACACGGUCAAGACUCCUACGGGAGGAAGCAGUAGGGAAUCUUACGCAAUGGGCGAAAGCAUGACGGAGCAACGCCGAGUGAGUGAUGAAGGUCUUCGGAUCGUAAAACUCUGUUAUUAGGGAAGAACAUAUGUGUAAGUAACUGUGCACAUCUUGACGGUAACUAAUCAGAAAGCAACGGCUAACUACGUG